AUUUUAUGGCCAAGUUACUAAGGGUGAACGGUGGAUGCCUUGGCGCCGAGCGGCGAUGAAGGACGUGGCAAGCUGCGAUAAGCCCCGGGGAGCCGCAAACAGGCUUUGAUCCGGGGAUUUCCGAAUGGGGAAACCCGGCGGGGGUCAUGCCCCGCCACGGCGGCCUGAAUACAUAGGGCCGUUCGAGCAAACCCCGGGAAGUGAACCAUCUCAGUACCGGGAGGAAAAGAAAGCAACCGCGAUUCCGUCAGUAGCGGCGAGCGAAAGCGGAACAGCCCAAACCCGAGGGCCUCCGGGUCCGCGGGGGUUGUGGGGCAGGGUCCGGAUCAGAUCCGGGGAGUUACCAAUCGCGCACCUAGGAGAAGGUGUCUGGAAAGUCCAGCCAAAGAGGGUGAAAGCCCCGUAUCCGAAAGGUGUCGCGACUCCCGACCUUGUACCCGAGUACCACGGGGCACGAGAAACCCCGUGGGAAUCCGGGAGGACCAUCUCCCAAGGCUAAACACGUCUCGGCGACCGAUAGUGAACCAGUACCGUGAGGGAAAGGUGAAAAGCACCCCUGUCAGGGGAGUGAAACAGACCUGAAACCGUUCAUCUACAAGCAGUGGAACCCCCAUGGGCUCGCCCGGGGGAACCGCGUGCCUUUUGCAUAAUGAGCCGGCUAGUUACCGUCCGUGGCGAGGCUAAGCAACGUGCUGAGCCGUAGCGAAAGCGAGUCUGAACAGGGCGUUCAGUCACGGGCCGUACACGCGAAGCGGGAUGAUCUAGCCUGGGCCAGGAUGAAACGCGGGUAACACCGCGUGGAGGUCCGAACCGGUGUUUGUUGAAAAAAGCUCGGAUGAGCUCAGGCUAGGGGUGAAAGGCUAAUCAAAUUCCGUUAUAGCUCGUUCUCCUCGAAAUGCCUUUAGGGGCAGCCUCGGACGAACACCUGCGGUGGUAGAGCACUGGAUGGACUAGGGGCCUUACCCGGUUACUGAAUCCAACCAAACUCCGAAUGCCGCAGCGUGCUAUCCGGGAGUGAGACGGCGGGGGAUAAGCUUCGUCGUCAAAAGGGAAAGAACCCAGAGCGCCAGCUAAGGUCCCCAAAUCGGUGCUUAGUGGAAAACGAUGUGGAGACGCUCCGACAGCCAGGAGGUUGGCUUAGAAGCAGCCAUCCUUUAAAGAAAGCGUAAUAGCUCACUGGUCAAGUGGCUCCGCGCGGACAAUUCAACGGGGCUCAAGCACCGUACCGAAGCUGCGUCUGCGCCGGGGAUGCGUCCCCGACGCGGGGUAGAGGAGCAUUCCGUGCGCGUCGAAGGCGGACCGAGAGGACCGCUGGAGCGCACCGAAGAGACCCUGCCGGCACAAGUAGCGAGAAAGCAGCUGAGAACGCUGCUCGCCGAAAGACUAAGGUUUCCUGAGCAAGGUCAAUCCGCUCAGGGUCAGUCGGACCCUAAGGCGAGGCCGAGAGGCGUAGCCGAUGGACAUCAGGUCAACAUUCCUGAACUUCCUUCCGGGUGACAAAGACCGAAAGGGGUGACGCAGGAGGCUAUCCGGACCCACGCGUUGGUUGUCGUGGGCCAAGCUCGUAGGCGGAGGGGGCAGGCAAAUCCACCUCCUCGUCAACGCCGAGAAGCGACGGGGUGGCCGCAAGGCCGGAACCCGGAGAUGCCACGCUGCCGAGAAAACCCUCGUUCGGGACUCGGAGGGAAUCCGUACCGCAAUCCGACACAGGUAGUCAAGGAGAGAAUCCUCAGGCGCUCGAGUGAAGCGUUGCGAAGGAACUCGGCAAAUUAACACCGUAACUUCGGAAGAAGGUGUGCUCCUAGGGGUGUAGAGGCUUGCCCUCGAGGCUCCCGGGGGUCGCAGGAACAAGGCCCAGGCGACUGUUUAUCAAAAACACAGGACUCUGCGAAGUCGAAAACGACGUAUAGGGUCUGACGCCUGCCCGGUGCUGGAAGGUUAAGGGGAGGGGUCAGCCGCAAGGCAAAGCUCCGAACCGAAGCCCCAGUAAACGGCGGCCGUAACUAUAACGGUCCUAAGGUAGCGAAAUUCCUUGUCGGGUAAGUUCCGACCUGCAUGAAUGGCGUAACGAUCUGGGCACUGUCUCCGCAACGCGCUCGGCGAAUCUGUACUCCCGGUGAAGAUGCCGGGUACCCGCACGUAGACGGAAAGACCCUGUGCACCUUUACUACACCCUGGCCCUGAACUCUGGUGCUGUCUGCGCAGGAUAGGUGGGACGCUUUGAACCUGGGGUUUCGGCCUCGGGGGAGCGGACGGUGAGAUACCACCCUGGCGACACUGGAGUUCUAACCUAGGCCCGUGAUCCGGGCCGGAGACACGGUCAGGCGGGUAGUUUGACUGGGGCGGUCGCCUCCCAAAUUGUAACGGAGGCGCUCGAAGGUACCCUUAGGCGGAUUGGAAACCCGCCGUUAAGUGUAAAGGCAGAAGGGUGCUUGACUGCGAGACGGACAGGUCAAGCAGGUGGGAAACCAGGACUUAGUGAUCCGGUGGUUCUGCAUGGAAGGGCCAUCGCUCAACGGAUAAAAGGUACGCCGGGGAUAACAGGCUGAUCUUGCCCAAGAGUUCACAUCGACGGCAAGGUUUGGCACCUCGAUGUCGGCUCAUCGCAUCCUGGGGCUGAAGCAGGUCCCAAGGGUCCGGCUGUUCGCCGGUUAAAGCGGUACGUGAGCUGGGUUCAGAACGUCGUGAGACAGUUCGGUCCCUAUCUCGUGUGGGCGUAGGAAGCUUGAAGGGCCCCGACCUUAGUACGAGAGGACCGGGUUGGACGAACCUCCUGUGCACCGGUUGUCGCGCCAGCGGCACACGCCGGGUAGCGGAGUUCGGCAGGAUAAGCGCUGAAGGCAUAUAAGCGCGAAGCCGACCCUGAGAUGAGGCUUCCCUGGGGGCAACCCCCUGAAGGACCGUGGGAGAUGACCACGUUGAUAGGCCGGAUGUGGAAACGAAGAGUGAAGCUGACCGGUACUAAUCGUCCGUGAGGCUUGGCCAUAAAAUAC
This 2993-nucleotide ribosomal RNA is filed under the name Acidobacteriota bacterium. RNAcentral's name for it is "Acidobacteria bacterium 23S ribosomal RNA". It matches the Rfam family "Bacterial large subunit ribosomal RNA". The record is from RNAcentral. Lineage: Bacteria; Pseudomonadati; Acidobacteriota.